This 143-nucleotide ribosomal RNA is filed under the name Didymosphaeriaceae sp. RNAcentral's name for it is "partial large subunit ribosomal RNA". The record is from RNAcentral. Lineage: Eukaryota; Fungi; Ascomycota; Dothideomycetes; Pleosporales; Didymosphaeriaceae.
CAGGCCAGCAUCAGUUUGGGCGGUUGGAUAAAGGCCUCUGUCACGUAUCUCCCUUCGGGGUGACCUUAUAGGGGAGGCGCAAUGCAACCAGCCCGGACUGAGGUCCGCGCAUCUGCUAGGAUGCUGGCGUAAUGGCUGUAAGC